AAGACCUGUACCUAUAAUUGCAAACGGGAUCUUCGGAUCGACUGUGCACAUUAUAGGGACUGCCUUCGUAAGAAGGAGGAAGGUGCAGGCAACGGUAGGUCUGUAUGCUCCGAAUCUUCUAGGCUACACGCGCGCAACAGUGGUUAAGACAAUGGGAUGCAACACCGAAAGGUGAAGCUAAUCCUCGAAACUUAAUCGUAGUAUAGAUUGUGGGUUGCAACUCACCCACAUGACAACGGAAUUCCUAGUAAUCAGACUUCAUCAUAGUCUGGUGAAUAU
This 279-nucleotide ribosomal RNA is filed under the name uncultured archaeon. RNAcentral describes it as "partial 16S rRNA". It matches the Rfam family "Archaeal small subunit ribosomal RNA", at positions 1047 to 1325 of the family's 1478-position model. The record is from RNAcentral.